Molecule: long non-coding RNA, 519 nt
Filed under: Brassica napus (rape)
Lineage: Eukaryota; Viridiplantae; Streptophyta; Magnoliopsida; Brassicales; Brassicaceae
Description: long non-coding RNA (BNAP_LNC019671)
Source: RNAcentral
GUGGGAGUCACCAUCGAUCGAUUUCGAAGCUCGUGCUCUGGUCGUUUGUUGCUGCUGAAUCGUGGCUAUGUCCUGCUUCAUCUCGUCCGUGCGUGUAGUCAGCCAGCUGAUACUGUUGUCGAAUGGGUAGUAGAGAUCAUCAAGCCUCUUGUAGAAAUCAUCUUAUGACAUCCUUAAAGCUCUGUAGCUCCCUUGUGCCCUCUCAUCAACCUCUUCUUUGUUGUAAGUGCAUGGCUCUGGCAUGGACUGAGUGUAUCCCUCUGCAUGUUUUGGAAGACAUAUAUAAGAGCGCUCAUGCAUUGCAGCUCUUUCAAGAAUGACUCUGAUGUCCUCCUUUGACACAUGGAUGCCUCUACCAUCUACAACUCGUGCAUAUCCAUGAUCAUCUCUGUAGACAAUAUACUCAUCUCUCUUUUUACAAUGAAAUAUGCUUUGUCCGUUCUGAUCAUAGGCUCUCCGUCCGAACUCUAGGCAAUUGUCGAUCGAUGGUGGGACUGGACCGUCGAUCGAUUUUCGACC